AGAGUUUGAUCAUGGCUCAGAUUGAACGCUGGCGGCAUGCCUUACACAUGCAAGUCGAACGGUAACGCGGGGCAACCUGGCGACGAGUGGCGAACGGGUGAGUAAUAUAUCGGAACGUGCCCAGUAGUGGGGGAUAGCCCGGCGAAAGCCGGAUUAAUACCGCAUACGACCUCAGGGUGAAAGCGGGGGAUCGCAAGACCUCGCGCUAUUGGAGCGGCCGAUAUCAGAUUAGGUAGUUGGUGGGGUAAGAGCCUACCAAGCCUAAGACGGGUAGCCGGACUGAGAGGUUGAACGGCCACACUGGAACUGAGAUACGGUCCAGACUCCUACGGGAGGCAGCAGUGGGGAAUUUUGCGCAAUGGGCGAAAGCCUGACGCAGCGACGCCGCGUGGAGGAUGAAGGUUUUCGGAUUGUAAACUCCUUUUGUAGGGGAAGAUAAUGACGGUACCCUAUGAAUAAGCCACGGCUAACUCUGUGCCAGCAGCCGCGGUAAGACAGAGGUGGCAAGCGUUGUUCGGAAUUACUGGGCUUAAAGGGCGCGUAGGUGGUGGCAUAAGUCCGAGGUGGAAGGCUAAGGCUUAACCUUAGAAUUGCCUUGGAAACUGUAUCACUUGAGUCAGCGAGGGGAUGGCGGAAUUCCAGGUGUAGCGGUGAAAUGCGUAGAUAUCUGGAGGAAGGCCGGUGGCGAAGGC
Molecule: ribosomal RNA, 692 nt
Filed under: uncultured bacterium
Lineage: Bacteria
Description: bacterial SSU rRNA
Rfam family: Bacterial small subunit ribosomal RNA
Source: RNAcentral